Cicer arietinum (chickpea) is the source of this 450-nucleotide non-coding RNA. NCBI's taxonomy places the organism in Eukaryota, Viridiplantae, Streptophyta, Magnoliopsida, Fabales, Fabaceae. The record is from RefSeq and is a predicted model, not a curated record.
GUAAAAGAAGAGAGAAAACACCACAAUUCUUUAUUUGCAUGGUCUACCUCCAAGCCAACCCACAUCAUUCCUUUUCAAUAUAUUCUUCUUACAACAAUAUUGAAUACAAAUGAGGAGAGUAAGAUAGAAAUAAAGAGUAUUAGGUUUCAUUCUUGAAGAAACACAAAGAAGAUUGAAGAUGGAAGUCAAAUGAUGACUAUUAUCAAUGAAUGAAAUUAAAACUCAACCUUAGGAAAAGACACAGCUCUCCCACAUCUACAAGUUAAGGUAACAGGUAAACAUUGAAAGUCUAAGGAGUAUCCGGAGUUGCUCACCAGUCAUUCAAUGUCAUGAGUCAGAAUUGGAUCACGUCUUGAGUCUAGAUUAGAGUCAUAGUUUAAUUAAGACUCACUUGAAAGUUGUUUUAAAUUUGUAAGUAUUUAGAUAUUUAUGAAUUAAAAGUUUCAGUUU